AGCGAACGCUGGCGGCAGGCUUAACACAUGCAAGUCGAACGGGCUUCUUCGGAAGUCAGUGGCAGACGGGUGAGUAACACGUGGGAACGUGCCCUUCGGUUCGGAAUAACUCAGGGAAACUUGAGCUAAUACCGGAUACGCCCUUUUGGGGAAAGGUUUACUGCCGAAGGAUCGGCGCGCGUCUGAUUAGCUUGUUGGUGGGGUAACGGCCUACCAAGGCGACGAUCAGUAGCUGGUCUGAGAGGAUGAUCAGCCACACUGGGACUGAGACACGGCCCAGACUCCUGCGGGAGGCAGCAGUGGGGAAUAUUGGACAAUGGGCGCAAGCCUGAUCCAGCCAUGCCGCGUGAGUGAUGAAGGCCUUAGGGUUGUAAAGCUCUUUUGUCCGGGACGAUAAUGACGGUACCGGAAGAAUAAGCCCCGGCUAACUUCGUG
RNAcentral lists this ribosomal RNA (435 nucleotides) under uncultured bacterium. RNAcentral's name for it is "partial 16S ribosomal RNA". It matches the Rfam family "Bacterial small subunit ribosomal RNA", at positions 29 to 507 of the family's 1533-position model. The record is from RNAcentral.